Triticum aestivum (bread wheat) is the source of this 239-nucleotide long non-coding RNA. RefSeq lists it as uncharacterized. The transcript is spliced from 3 exons. Lineage: Eukaryota; Viridiplantae; Streptophyta; Magnoliopsida; Poales; Poaceae. The record is from RefSeq and is a predicted model, not a curated record.
AAUGUCGCAUUAUUACCGGCACUAAGUAACAAAGAGUUCCAGGGUCACAAGCAGGCGCCUUCGCCACAUUGUCAUUCAUUUGUGAGAUGUUUCUAUUUCUCUAUGUUGGCAUGGAUGAUAUAGAGUAGUGGAAGAAUGUUAGUGAAACACAUACAGGCUUGAAGUGGCGGUCGUAACACAGUCGGUUGGGAGGACUCAAUGUCAGAGUCGAUAUUAUGGACAUUUUCCUUGUUAGAACC